GAGUGAAACUCAAAGGAAUUGACGGGGACCCGCACAAGUAGCGGAGCAUGUGGUUUAAUUCGAAGCAACGCGAAGAACCUUACCUAAGCUUGACAUCCCAAUGACAUCUCCUUAAUCGGAGAGUUCCCUUCGGGGACAUUGGUGACAGGUGGUGCAUGGUUGUCGUCAGCUCGUGUCGUGAGAUGUUGGGUUAAGUCCCGCAACGAGCGCAACCCUUGUCUUUAGUUGCCAUCAUUAAGUUGGGCACUCUAGAGAGACUGCCAGGGAUAACCUGGAGGAAGGUGGGGAUGACGUCAAAUCAUCAUGCCCCUUAUGCUUAGGGCUACACACGUGCUACAAUGGGUAGUACAGAGGGUUGCCAAGCCGUAAGGUGGAGCUAAUCCCUUAAAGCUACUCUCAGGUCGGAUUGUAGGCUGAAACUCGCCUACAUGAAGCUGGAGUUACUAGUAAUCGCAGAUCAGAAUGCUGCGGUGAAUGCGUUCCCGGGUCUUGUACACACCGCCCGUCACACCACGGGAGUUGGAGACGCCCGCAGCCGA
This 539-nucleotide ribosomal RNA is filed under the name Clostridioides difficile. RNAcentral's name for it is "bacterial SSU rRNA". It matches the Rfam family "Bacterial small subunit ribosomal RNA", at positions 892 to 1430 of the family's 1533-position model. Lineage: Bacteria; Bacillati; Bacillota; Clostridia; Peptostreptococcales; Peptostreptococcaceae. The record is from RNAcentral.